AGAAUCAACGCUGGCGGCGUGCCUAACACAUGCAAGUCGAACGAGAAAGGGGUAGCAAUACCCUGAGUAAAGUGGCGCACGGGUGAGUAACACGUGACUAACCUACCCUUGAGUGGGGGAUAACUGAGGGAAACCUUAGCUAAUACCGCAUAAUACCCACGGGUCAAAGGAGCAAUUCGCUCGAGGAGGGGGUCGCGGCCGAUUAGUUAGUUGGCGGGGUAAUGGCCCACCAAGACGAUGAUCGGUAUCCGG
RNAcentral lists this ribosomal RNA (252 nucleotides) under uncultured bacterium. RNAcentral's name for it is "partial small subunit ribosomal RNA". It matches the Rfam family "Bacterial small subunit ribosomal RNA", at positions 26 to 290 of the family's 1533-position model. The record is from RNAcentral.